This 62-nucleotide transfer RNA is filed under the name Ptilodactylidae sp. 2 ACP-2013. Its description in RNAcentral is "tRNA-Cys". Lineage: Eukaryota; Metazoa; Arthropoda; Insecta; Coleoptera; Ptilodactylidae. The record is from RNAcentral.
GUCUUAUAUUCAAAAAUGAUUUUAAAUUGCAAAUUUAAAGGAGGUUAUUAACCUAAGGCUUA